Molecule: unclassified non-coding RNA, 690 nt
Filed under: Hevea brasiliensis (rubber tree)
Lineage: Eukaryota; Viridiplantae; Streptophyta; Magnoliopsida; Malpighiales; Euphorbiaceae
Source: RNAcentral
GAGCAGUCGACUAGAAGUAGAAGACUGAUGGCCUGAGAGAAAGCGGCCUCUCUCGGGAAACAUGGCCAAAUUUCUCUUCUUUCUUUUUGAUUUCGGGUUUCUUUAUUUUUUCAGGGGCCCAGAACGCUAAAGGGGAGAAGCAAACCGAACCUCUAAUCGACCUGGACACAUAAAAAAUUCUCGGCGUCGAGAGAGAUUUGAGAUUCCGUAAGUAACUCAGUGAGUGCUUUCUAAGAAGGGCUUGGUUUGGAAAAAGAAAAUGAAAUACGAACAACCGCGCUGGUUGUAAUAGAUCGACUUUCAUGCUAGUUCUUGCUCCAGUAUGAAAGUUCCAUUUCAGGGAAGGACGACGUACCAUGAUACUUUCUGUUUUGUCGAGCCUUGCUUUGGUCUCUGGUUUGAUGGUUGUACGUGCUAAAAAUCCGGUACAUUCCGUUUUGUUUUUCAUCCUAGUCUUUUGCGAUACUUCAGGUUUACUUCUUUUGUUAGGUCUCGACUUCUUCGCUAUGAUCUUCCUAGUAGUUUAUAUAGGAGCUAUAGCCGUUUUAUUCCUAUUCGUUGUUAUGAUGUUCCAUAUUCAAAUAGCGGAGAUUCACGAAGAAGUCUUGCGCUAUUUACCAGUGAGUGGUAUUAUUGGACUGAUCUUUUGGUGGGAAAUGUUCUUCAUUUUAGAUAAUGAAACCAUUCCAU